Molecule: ribosomal RNA, 371 nt
Filed under: uncultured bacterium
Lineage: Bacteria
Description: bacterial SSU rRNA
Rfam family: Bacterial small subunit ribosomal RNA
Source: RNAcentral
GGGGGGGGCAAGCGUUGUUCGGAAUUACUGGGCGUAAAGGGCGCGUAGGCGGCCUGCUAAGUCACACGUGAAAUCCCUCGGCUCAACCGGGGAACUGCGUGUGAUACUGGCGGGCUUGAAUUCGGGAGAGGGAUGUGGAAUUCCAGGUGUAGCGGUGAAAUGCGUAGAUAUCUGGAGGAACACCGGUGGCGAAGGCGGCAUCCUGGACCGAGAUUGACGCUGAGGCGCGAAAGCUAGGGUAGCAAACGGGAUUAGAUACCCCGGUAGUCCUAGCCCUAAACGAUGAGUGCUUGGUGUGGCGGGUAUCGAUCCCUGCCGUGCCGAAGCUAACGCAUUAAGCACUCCGCCUGGGGAGUACGGUCGCAAGGCUG